This is a long non-coding RNA of Thalassophryne amazonica, 99 nucleotides long. RefSeq lists it as uncharacterized. The transcript is spliced from 3 exons. The record is from RefSeq and is a predicted model, not a curated record. Lineage: Eukaryota; Metazoa; Chordata; Actinopteri; Batrachoidiformes; Batrachoididae.
AAAGAUAUCGGUAAAAACCCAAAUAAUCCACAUAUACAAAGACACCAAACCACAGAUGUCCAAAAAUUAACUUAUGUGUAAUUAAAUGAAAAGCCACAG